Molecule: transfer RNA, 72 nt
Filed under: Bos taurus (domestic cattle)
Lineage: Eukaryota; Metazoa; Chordata; Mammalia; Artiodactyla; Bovidae
Also listed under: 3 other names
Rfam family: tRNA
About the family: Transfer RNA (tRNA) molecules are approximately 80 nucleotides in length.
Source: Rfam by way of RNAcentral
UCCCUUAUAGCUCAGUUGGUAAAGCAUCUGCCUGCAAUGCAGGAGACCUGUGUUCAAUUCUUGGGUCAGGAA